UUAAGUUCAUAUGAUAUACAUACAAUUACAUAAAAUAUGAUUUGCUACUCACUUAAAAUGCUUGUCAAGUUUUUAUUUUAAAAAUUAACAAAAAGUUACAUCCAAAAUUUUUUAAAAAAAUAACUAAAUUAAUGCUUUUUUAGUUUUUAAAUGUUGUGUCCAAAUUUAUUAACCAUUCAAUUUAUUAAAAAUAAAUAAUUAGUUAAGUGAAAAUUAUAUUUUUAAAUACAAAAAAUGUGAGAAAAUGAAAAUUUUAAGUUUUUAUUCAAAAUCUAAAUAUCCGAACCCGAUCCGAAAUAACCGAAUCCGAACUAAAAAUAUCCGAACCCGACCCGAAGUAUAGAAAUACCCGAACGGGUUCUACACCUCUAUACCGAAAUACCCAAAAAU
This 390-nucleotide long non-coding RNA is filed under the name Brassica rapa (field mustard). RNAcentral describes it as "long non-coding RNA (BRAP_LNC006384)". The record is from RNAcentral. Lineage: Eukaryota; Viridiplantae; Streptophyta; Magnoliopsida; Brassicales; Brassicaceae.